Molecule: long non-coding RNA, 2884 nt
Filed under: Homo sapiens (human)
Lineage: Eukaryota; Metazoa; Chordata; Mammalia; Primates; Hominidae
Description: uncharacterized LOC125312414, transcript variant 3 (LOC125312414)
Source: RNAcentral
AGUCUCCAUAAUCUAAUCUCCAGAAUGCACUAAACCAGGAGAAGAUCCACCUGGAAUGGAAGAAUAUUAAGGAGAACAAGUCCUCAUCUCUCCAAAGACCCUUCAUCCUUCAUUUCACAAUAGUCUUUAUUGGUCUGCUGGAGUUUGCUGGAGGUCCACUCCAGACCCUGUUUGCCUGGGUAUCACCGGCAGAGGCUGCAGAGCAGCAAAGAUUGCUGCCUGCUCCUUCCUCUGGAAGCUUCAUCCCAAAGGGGCACCCGCCUGAUGCCAGCCAGAGCUCUCCUGUACGAGAGAUGCCCUGCCCAGUGAGGAGGAAUCUAGAGAAGCAGUCUGGCCAUAGCUUUGCUGCACUGCGCACUUCUCCUUGCUGCCGCCAUGUGAAGAAGAAUGUGUUUGCUUCCCCUUCCGCCAUGAUUGUCAUGACAUUUUGAGCACAAUUGUGUGUGGGAUGCAUUCAUCAAUAGAGCUGGAAGCACCAACCACCAUAGGAGUAGAGACAGGGUUUCACCACAUUGGCUAGGCUGGUCUUGAACUCCUGACCUCAAGUGAUCCACCCCCAUCAGCAUCCCAAAGUGCUGGGAUUACAGAGGAAACUUUUAGUUACAAGCACAUGAAUAAAUAAAAUCAAACUCAACUGGAAUGACGUUCCUGAGGAUGGAGAUACAUUUUUUUGUUGACCCAUCUAAACUUGAACAGCAAGUGAUAAUCAGUCUCCAAUCAGAAAGUCCCAGGACUUAUAGGAGCAGAAAUCAGAAGACUUUACUCCACACACUUCAGGUGGACAUGUGGACAAAGCCAUCGGAGAACAUGACAAAAAUACAGCAAGAGCAGAGACAAGAUCAGAUCAUCCUGGGGGCAGAUGCUGGGCUCUGACCAAUUUGAGAGAGAAAAGGAAAAAGAACCCAGCUACAAGAUGCACAAGUAGCAGGCCACAGCCACCAACAUCAGCAGAGCAAUUGGAGGCCAGGAAGACAAGGACACUUCUGAAGAGACUGAAAAAAGCAGAAGACAGUCCAAGUCACUGCAAGGUUCCAAGGUCUCUUUUUUCAUUACUGUUACAAGUACCAAGUAAGCCAAAAUCCACCCUACUCUUCAAAACCAUCUUGAAGAGUUGCAGGUCAGGGUUGCUGCAUCUGAGCAUGUUUACUCACAAAAGGUGACAGAUGCUCCUCAACUUACAAUGAGAUUACAUCCUGAUAAAUGUGUCAUAAGUUGAAAGUAUCUUAUAAGUCGAAAAUGCAUUUACUACAGCCUAACCCACUGAACAUUGUAGCUUAGGCUAGCCUACCUUAAAACGUGAUCAGGACACUUCCCUCAGCCUACAUUUGGGCAAAAUCACCUAACACGAAGCCUAUUUUAUAAUAGAGCAUUGAAUAGCUCAAAUAAUUUAUUGAAUACUGUACAUUACAUAGAAUUUGUGACAGUUUUACACCAUCAUUAUGUCAAAAAAUCAUUAAGUUGAGCCACCAUAACUCAGGGACUGUCUGUAUUUAUAUUUUUACUUCACACUAAGCUUUGAAACUGAAAUUUUUGCUCCUCAGCAGAUGGGGUUUCUGAGAAAGACCAAAUUAGUUAUAGAGCACUAGCUCCCAAAAAAAAAAAAAAAAAAAAACAGAAGAAGUCAGAGGAGGAGGGCAACAUGGAGCAGAGGAAGAAGGAGAGAAAAAGCAAGAAACCAUUAUCGCUCCCUCAUCUGAACUGCACUGCGAGUAAGCUGGGGCUUCCACCACAGUGUCCUGGAAGCCAUGUUUGCUGCCCAUUUCUGGACUCUCCAGCCACACUGGCCUCCUUUCCCUUUCUCAAACCUGCUGUGGUUCCUGCCACUUCAAGAUAAUCUCUUAACAAUCUAUUCCUUCUGCCUGGAAUGCUCUUCCUCCCACCCAACCCCGCUCUGCCCAGCUAACUCCAUUCUUUGGCCCCUGCAUCACUUUCCCAAGGAAGCCAUUUCUGGACUUCCCUGACCCCUGCCUUCCAUCUUCACUGGCCCAGAGUUCCCUACCCUAUGGUCUCAUUGCUCCCUCCCAGGCACUGCUGCCUCCCAGGACUCUUCCCUGUCGGUAAUAUAGUUCUGUUUGAUUGUUCAGUUAAUUUUGCCUCCCCUGAAGACCAUAAGCCAUGUUGGCAAUGAUGGUUUUGCUCACCAUUGCACCUCCAGUGUCUAAAAACCAUGGGCAGGUCAAUUCAUUUUUGUUGAGUAAAGGAAUUGUUCAAUAAGUGCACAAAUAAAUUCACAUUAAAACUUGUCCAAAAACAAAGGAGUUUUCUUGUGAGAAGCAGCUGCUCAUUCUGGGGCAUUCAAGUGCAGUGAGAUGACAACGAUGACCAUUGGAGAUGCUUUCAAAGUGAUGCCGGCACUAGACAGAUGGCUGGAGUGUGUACCCUUUAAGGACUCACCUAUCUCAGAAGUCAUGUGUGUUUCUGUAUGUGUAAAUGCACAAACAGACUGGAAGGAUAUGUGUUCAGCGUCUUUUCAGACUGUGAAGGUCCCUGCAACCAGAAGGAGAGCUGUCUUCAGGAAAGGAUGAAGGGAACGAGCAUCUGUCUGUGACUCUGGUGGUUGUGCAGGCAGGUCACCUCAAGGUGGAGUGACACUGUGGUGGGACAGGUGGAGCACCAGUGAGGAAGCUCUCAUGGGCCUGAGCCAACUGAAUUAAUUAAGACCAAGAACAGUAAAGGGACCCAGAGGGCAAACUCUGAGAGGCAGUCAUAAGCAGCACCCUCUCCCCAAACUGUAUUACUCAUUCCCACAGAAGUGUGUGUCUGCUUGCCUUUAAUCUGUUCUGACUGUAAGCCAUUUUGAGACAUCCCAGUCCCAAUGAUGGCCACCAUGUUCUGCAUUGAAUAGAUGCUUGACAUACAUCCAAUUAGUAAAAGCGAGUGAACU